UACAGAGGUCCCAAGCGUUGUUCGGAUUCAUUGGGCGUAAAGGGUGCGUAGGCGGCGCGGUAAGUCGGGUGUGAAAUCUCGGAGCUUAACUCCGAAACUGCAUUCGAUACUGCCGUGCUUGAGGACUGGAGAGGAGACUGGAAUUUACGGUGUAGCGGUGAAAUGCGUAGAUAUCGUAAGGAAGACCAGUGGCGAAGGCGGGUCUCUGGGCCUUACCUGACGCUCAGGUGCGAAAGCUAGGGGAGCGAACAGG
Molecule: ribosomal RNA, 253 nt
Filed under: uncultured bacterium
Lineage: Bacteria
Description: partial 16S ribosomal RNA
Rfam family: Bacterial small subunit ribosomal RNA
Source: RNAcentral